This 172-nucleotide ribosomal RNA is filed under the name Pardachirus pavoninus (Pacific sole). Its description in RNAcentral is "partial 12S ribosomal RNA". Lineage: Eukaryota; Metazoa; Chordata; Actinopteri; Pleuronectiformes; Soleidae. The record is from RNAcentral.
UACCGCGGUUACACGAGAGGCUCAAGUUGAUAGUCAACGGCACAAAAGGUGGUUAGGUAGAACACUAAAUUAAGGCUGAACGCUUUUCUUACAGCUGUUAUAAGCUCCUAAAAGUAUGAAAACCAGCUACGAAAGUGGCCUUAUAAAGUCCGAACCCACGAAAGCUAAGAAA